RNAcentral lists this ribosomal RNA (253 nucleotides) under uncultured bacterium. RNAcentral's name for it is "partial 16S ribosomal RNA". It matches the Rfam family "Bacterial small subunit ribosomal RNA", at positions 524 to 776 of the family's 1533-position model. The record is from RNAcentral.
UACAGGGGGGGCAAGCGUUGUUCGGAAUUACUGGGCGUAAAGGGUUCGUAGGUGGCUCACUAAGUCACACGUGAAAUCCCUCAGCUUAACUGGGGAACUGCGUGUGAAACUGGAGAGCUUGAGGGUAGGAGAGGAAUGCAGAAUUCCAGGGGUAGCGGUGAAAUGCGUAGAUAUCUGGAGGAAUACCGGUGGCGAAGGCGGCAUCCUGGACCGGCAUUGACGCUGAGGCGCGAAAGCCAGGGGAGCAAACGGG